RNAcentral lists this ribosomal RNA (468 nucleotides) under uncultured bacterium. RNAcentral's name for it is "partial 16S ribosomal RNA". It matches the Rfam family "Bacterial small subunit ribosomal RNA", at positions 28 to 507 of the family's 1533-position model. The record is from RNAcentral.
GACGAACGCUGGCGGCGUGCUUAACACAUGCAAGUCGAACGGAAAGGCCCUGCUUUUGUGGGGUGCUCGAGUGGCGAACGGGUGAGUAAUACGUGAGUAACCUGCCCUUGACUUUGGGAUAACUUCAGGAAACUGGGGCUAAUACCGGAUAGGAGCUCCUGCUGCAUGGUGGGGGUUGGAAAGUUUCGGCGGUUGGGGAUGGACUCGCGGCUUAUCAGCUUGUUGGUGGGGUAGUGGCUUACCAAGGCUUUGACGGGUAGCCGGCCUGAGAGGGUGACCGGCCACAUUGGGACUGAGAUACGGCCCAGACUCCUACGGGAGGCAGCAGUGGGGAAUAUUGCACAAUGGGCGGGAGCCUGAUGCAGCAACGCCGCGUGCGGGAUGACGGCCUUCGGGUUGUAAACCGCUUUCGCCUGUGACGAAGCGUGAGUGACGGUAAUGGGUAAAGAAGCACCGGCUAACUACGUG